This 523-nucleotide ribosomal RNA is filed under the name Bacillus sp. (in: firmicutes). Its description in RNAcentral is "bacterial SSU rRNA". It matches the Rfam family "Bacterial small subunit ribosomal RNA", at positions 20 to 514 of the family's 1533-position model. The record is from RNAcentral. Lineage: Bacteria; Bacillati; Bacillota; Bacilli; Caryophanales; Bacillaceae.
UGGCUCAGGAUGAACGCUGGCGGCGUGCUUAAUACAUGCAAGUCGAGCGAAUGGAUUGAGAGCUUGCUCUCAAGAAGUUAGCGGCGGACGGGUGAGUAACACGUGGGUAACCUGCCCAUAAGACUGGGAUAACUCCGGGAAACCGGGGCUAAUACCGGAUAACAUUUUGAACUGCAUGGUUCGAAAUUGAAAGGCGGCUUCGGCUGUCACUUAUGGAUGGACCCGCGUCGCAUUAGCUAGUUGGUGAGGUAACGGCUCACCAAGGCAACGAUGCGUAGCCGACCUGAGAGGGUGAUCGGCCACACUGGGACUGAGACACGGCCCAGACUCCUACGGGAGGCAGCAGUAGGGAAUCUUCCGCAAUGGACGAAAGUCUGACGGAGCAACGCCGCGUGAGUGAUGAAGGCUUUCGGGUCGUAAAACUCUGUUGUUAGGGAAGAACAAGUGCUAGANNNUANAGUUGAAUAAGCUGGCACCUUGACGGUACCUAACCAGAAAGCCACGGCUAACUACGUGCCAGCAG